UACGGAGGGGGCGAGCGUUAAUCGGAAUAACUGGGCGUAAAGGGCACGCAGGCGGGCUUUUAAGUGAGAUGUGAAAUCCCCGGGCUUAACCUGGGAAUAGCAUUGGAGACUGGGAGACUAGAGUACUUUAGGGGGGGGUGGAAUUCCACGUGUAGCGGUGAAAUGCGUAGAGAUGUGGAGGAAUACCAGAGGCGAAGGCAGCCCCUUGGGAAUGUACUGACGCUGAUGUGCGAAAGCGUGGGGAGCAAACAGG
RNAcentral lists this ribosomal RNA (253 nucleotides) under uncultured bacterium. RNAcentral describes it as "partial 16S ribosomal RNA". It matches the Rfam family "Bacterial small subunit ribosomal RNA", at positions 524 to 776 of the family's 1533-position model. The record is from RNAcentral.